AUGCAAUGGGCUGCACCUGUGCUCAGAGUAAACCUCACUUUUUUUCCCCUUCAAACCUCAGUUAUGAUGCUGUGGUUCACAUGGUUACAGACGACCACAGAGAGACGGCAGCUGUCCAUCCCUCGCCCUGCACCACCCUGCAAGGACGCAGUCGACGAACAGCCCAAUUCAAAUGUGGCAAAAAAAAAAAAAAAAAAAAAAACCCAUUCAAAAUUAAUUAAAGUAACAACAGUGAAAAGCUGAAACCGAGUAUAUUUGUGAUAAACUAAAGUAUUCUAUUUGUAGCCACUGUUAUUUUUGGUUUCUGUAGAAAUCAUUCUUUUGUGUUUGAGAAAAAAGUAAUGCGGCACGCUUUCAUAUUUACAUCAAAUCAGUCCCGAGGGCUGCUCUGUGCUGAAUAAUAUUAGGACGUUGCGUAACUUGUGUCAUCUCGUAAAGUUUCUUCAGUCCUUGUCUGCUCUCCUCUUCUGUAACACAGGUUACAAGUAACAUUAGUUCCCUCGAGUCCCUUGACAGUACCAAAGGUAUCCAUAAUAAGCAGGCAUGAUGACAAUGUGUGUGAAUCACUAAGGGUAAGCCUGAUACAUUUCAUCCUUUUAGUGUAUAUGACUCACUUUAAAAACUGCCAAUAAAAGUGUCUGCAUUGUCUCUCCAUGUAUCUGUGUGAGUGCUUAUUUGUGUGUGUGUGUCUUCCUCCCCGCCACUGAUUUAUAAUGGCAUAGUCCUAGCGCGGGCCUUUGGAGGCAGAUCUGGGGGAAUUGGUCUAAUUUGUGUGAACUGCUGUUGAUUUAUAGCCCAGCCAGAGGUUAAUGACAGUGUCGCUCAUUGCCGCUUGUUCUUUCCACUGUAAUGUCGUUAAAAGGAGGCAAUGCCAAGACCCCGCGGCUUUGUAUCCAUCGUUUCUUUCCUUCCCAGUGACCGUACUGUCCUCCCCUCUUUGCCACUCACCACUUUCACCUCAUCUCACCUCACCUCCAGUUCCAUCAUUCAUUCACUGGUGAUGUACCGGAUAGGUUAAUUAUCUUUAUAAAAAGGCUCUUUUGGAUGAAUGCCUUGACUGAGAGCUCUGUGUUGAUAUGGAAGCUACAGGAGCAUUAUUUAUUUAUUUUUUUUGGAUGAAAAAUUCAAACACCACAUUUAAAGCAACAAGGUGUACUCCAGUAUCAAAGCACGAAUGUAUAAUUUUAAUGUAAUAUUACUAAUUUUAUUGUGAUAUUACUGUAGGUAUUACAGUCAUGUGGGUCUAAGGGCAGAAAUAAACCCCUCAGAAUCAUAUUAACGCUGCAGCUACACAGGAUAUAAAAUAAUUUUUCUUUCUGUUUUUUUAGAGUUGAAUUUAAAAUACUCUGAUCCUCUGUUGUAUUAAAAGCAGCUACACAGAAUCAUAGAAAACGUCAUGGAUUAAGAAUCCAUCCAGUCUCCAUAAAAUAAAAGUGUGAAAAAAAAUAAUCUAAUUAUGCUUCUAACACAGUAUGCUUUAAAAAAAAUCAACAGGAAAAGACAUUUAUGUCACAGAGCAAACUCAGUGCUACCACGGUGACACCUUUUUCAAAAGUUUUGGUGCCAGUUUCAGAGCUUAAAUCUAAUUUUCACUGUUAUUAUUUUAUUUCUUUGUCUUUAUGUUUGUAGUUCUGCCAUAUUACUUACCAAAAUAAAAGUUUGUCCAUUCAGAUAAGUUAACAAUUACAGACUAUUGACUAGACCAGUGAUGAUUCAGAGGUGUCCAGGGGUGAAUAACAACAUAAACUUGUAUUCUGCAUUUAACCUCUAAUAAUAAUUUAGGUUACUUUCUAGGAAUCCAUUAACAGGCUGACUUUAAAUGGGCUGUCUCUGUUAAACCUGCUUUGAUUCUGUGUAGUAAUACAUGCACACUUACAUGGAAGAUCUAUAGUUUUAUGUCCAGUACGAAAAUUGCAAGUAUGUUGCUCUAGGUCUCUCAAAGUUGCAUUAAAGUAAAAUUAUAUACAUUUCAAACUGUAAAAAUGUCCGGCAGAAAAAGAUGCACAAAAUGUAACAAUAUACGAUAGUAAAUAUAUUUGUAAUAUACCAUUUUCAAACAAUUUUACACAGUGCUUCAUAGGAUAGCACCAAUUAAAGCUGUACUUCCUCUUAAAAUAAAUAGUGUUUGCAUGUGUUUUUCCUGCUUAGUAGUAUGCACUAGAAUAAGAGGGCAAUUAUUCAAGUUUUUACAGAAUAUAAGAAAUAAUUGUAGUGUACGUCAUUUUAUACGGUGUGUAAGCAAUUCUAAGUAAGUAAUUUUAAGUAUUAUGUAAGCAGUUUUAGGUUGUGUGAAAGUAAUUUUAAGUAGUGCAUAACUUAUAUUUCACAGGUAAGGACACACAAAUUAUGCUGGAAGUAGAUCUAAGUAGUGCAACAAAUGCUUUUUGAAGUUUUUCAUUGUUUUUCCUGUUUAGUAAUAAAUAUACUGGAAUGAUGGGGUAAUUCUGUCCUGUCAUCCUGUAAAAUACCAUGUAAAGUUACACAUUACUUAAUAUUAUUGACAGAAUAGUUAUUUUUUAUUUCCUGUAUAAUCUGUAAUUCCUUUAUUCUAGUGUAGAUAACUAUAAUUACAUUGCAAUUUAAAAUAAAAAAUAAAAACAAAAACAUGGAAAUUCCAUUUAAUUUUAGAGAAUUUACACCCUAGUUGUAGUCCAUGUGAUAGUGUUACCCUUUAUAGAACUGCUUUGAUUAAAGUGUAUGAGUUAAAGGACUUGGUUACCUUCCCUAAGUGUCAGUGAGCACACACGUACACACUUCAUGACUUUGACGACACUUUGUGGCUGCAGCCGCGACUCCAGACAGGGCUCAUCUGUGCGUAUCUCUAGAAGCAAGGAAUGCUGGUAGCGUCAGCCCAAGAGAGGCUGUGUCUGUCUGGGCAUGGAUGCUGCCCUGUCACCCACCCCACUGCUCUCGCCCCACGCCUCCCUCAGCCUGCCUGAGCAGCAGCAGCGGCAGCAGCAUGGCAUGAGAACCCCGAGACAGACUCUGC
Molecule: long non-coding RNA, 2989 nt
Filed under: Oreochromis niloticus (Nile tilapia)
Lineage: Eukaryota; Metazoa; Chordata; Actinopteri; Cichliformes; Cichlidae
Description: lncRNA (ENSONIG00000031432.1)
Source: RNAcentral